Molecule: ribosomal RNA, 361 nt
Filed under: Ligidium sp. ADR9
Lineage: Eukaryota; Metazoa; Arthropoda; Malacostraca; Isopoda; Ligiidae
Description: partial 16S ribosomal RNA
Rfam family: Bacterial large subunit ribosomal RNA
Source: RNAcentral
UCCUUUAGGACGUUUAAACUUACCUUUGAGGUUAAAAGGCCUCAACUCCCCAAAGGGACGACAAGACCCUAAAAACUUUAUUCCUUACUUGGUAUCUAAGAACUACAGCAUCUAGGAAUUUAACUGGGGCGGUUAAUAAAAACAAAAUUAAACAAAACACCCUGAGUGAAAUUAAAGUACAUGCUUCCGUAUACAAGAACUAGUUACUUUAGGGAUAACAGCGCAAUUUUUCCAGAGAGUUCAAAUCGGCGGAAAAGAUUACGACCUCGAUGUUGAAUUGAAAAUCCUCCCGUAGAGCAAAAGCACGGGAAGGGAGUCUGUUCGACUCUUAAACUUUCACAUGAUCUGAGUUCAAACCGGA